UAGUCCUGGCAGUAAACGGUGCACGUUUGGUUUGGGGGGAUUCGACCCCUUCCGAGCCGGAGCUAACGCGUUAAACGUGCCGCCUGGGGAGUACGGUCGCAAGAUUAAAACAUAAAGGAAUAGACGGGGGUCCACACAAGCGGUGGAGCAUGUGGUUUAAUUCGAUAAUAAGCGAGGAACCUUACCAAGGCUUGACAUCCCGAUCAUAUGUACUGGAAACAGUAUAGUCAGUUCGGCUGGAUCGGUGACAGGUGUUGCAUGGUUGUCGUCAGCUCGUGCCGUGAGGUGUUGGGUUAAGUCCCGCAACGAGCGCAACCCUUAUCCUUAGUUGCCAGCACAUUAUGGUGGGGACUCUAGGGAGACUGCCGGCGCAAGCCGUGAGGAAGGUGGGGACACGUCAAAUCAGUCAUGGCCUUUAUGCCUAGGGGCUACGACACGUGCUACAAUGGUGACUACAACGGGUUGCGAAAUUGCGAAAUGGAGCUAAAUCUACAAAAAAGUCAAUCCCAGUUCGGAUUGGAGUC
This 524-nucleotide ribosomal RNA is filed under the name uncultured bacterium. Its description in RNAcentral is "bacterial SSU rRNA". It matches the Rfam family "Bacterial small subunit ribosomal RNA", at positions 791 to 1305 of the family's 1533-position model. The record is from RNAcentral.